Molecule: long non-coding RNA, 1530 nt
Filed under: Heterocephalus glaber (naked mole-rat)
Lineage: Eukaryota; Metazoa; Chordata; Mammalia; Rodentia; Bathyergidae
Description: lncRNA (ENSHGLG00000032337.1)
Source: RNAcentral
GUAAGUCCGCGCCCCGGCGCCACCGUGCGCCUCGCACUUCCCCGGCGCUGCCGGCGCUGCCUGUGCUGCGCACGCAGCCCGCGGGCUCCUCCGGCCACGGGGACAGCGGGGUCCUCGAGCGCGUAGCCGGGCGCCGGGACAGCGGGGCACUUUCGGGAGCUCCUCCAGCCGCGCAGGACGCGGUCCGCUGCCCCUUGCGCGUGUCCCCCGCGCGCUCUGCUCCCCUUGACUCGAUUUCCCUGAGCUUGGCUUCUGCCUGCGUCGCCUCCUUCCUCUGGGACUGUUUACUGGCUCUCGGGCUCGCGCACUCUGCUUCGGAGCUAGAGAGAAACACAGCUCGAAGCUGUUUCUCUCCGGCCGGCCGGGGUCUCCGGCGUCGGCGCUCGGUUCUGUCCCCUCCCCCCUUCCCCACCGCACCCCCUCUCGCCUUUGUUUCCCGGCCGGAGGAGCUCGCGGUGCAAACUUGCGAGUUCCGCGGGCUGCGCCCCCUCAGGGCCGUGGGGCGAGGCGGUGGCGGAGUUCCGGUCGCCCCCAAGUCUGGCGUGACCUGCCGGUAGAGGGGCGGGAGGCCGGCCAGGAGCAGCCGGGGGAUCAGAAAGUGGGGGAGUGUCUGGACCCCGGAGACUGUGCCCCUUAGACCAGGACCCGCACAGCGCCUGGCUCACACCCCUCUGCCGGGCUCCGGGGACGGCGAUGGCGGCCAAGCAGCCCCGCCUCUCAUGAAGAAGCACAGCCAGACGGACCUCGUGAGCCGCCUGAAGACUCCGGAAGAUCCUGGGCGUGGGCGGAGAGGAGCGAUGACGGGGAGGUGCACGCCUGCAAGGUGGGUCCCACCUAGGAGCAGAGCUGCUCCUGCAGUGGGUGCGGCGCCAGCCGCUGUCCGAGCAUUAACCUGGCUGCCCCAGAGUUGUAGAUUCAAGGAUGUACCCAUUGUACGGGUGAGGAAACAGGCUUGGAGAGGCUACGCUUGAGUUCUCAAGGCCACGCAGGCAGGUGGCAGGAACAGGCUUCGGCGCCCACAUCCGGCUGACACUGAGCUCUGGUUCUUAGUCCCCACAUUUCCAGCUUCUCUUAAACUCGGUGCCCAGAGGGAGGGAGGAGAGGGGCAGCCUCUUUCGCCAGCAGGGGGAACCCAGGCAGGUCCCAGGGAGCGCCUCUGACCCCCGUUGUGUCCACAGAUCAGCCAGGUCCUGGGCAGCUGAGAUCAAGUUUGCCGUCCGGGGAGCCCCUGGGGCUGAGGGUCUGGCAGUUCGUGUCCGCUGUGCUGUUCUCCGGCAUCGCCGUCAUGGCCCUGGCCUUUCCUGAGCAGCUCUACGAUGCUGUCUUCGACGGAGGCCGAGGUCACCAGCAAGACCCCAUCCGCCUCUGUGGGGGCGCCCUCCUCAGCAUCUCCCUGAUCAUGUGGAAUGCGGCUCUAGCACGGGCUGAGAAGGUCAUCAUCCGGUGGACGCUGCUCACGGAAGCCUGCUAGCCAGAGUCCAGUUUGUGGGUGAGUCCUGGGUGGCCUGUGGCAGGUUGCCAGGGGGCGAG